CCUACGGGCGGCAGCAGUGGGGGAUAUUGCACAAUGGGGGAAACCCUGAUGCAGCGACGCCGCGUGUGGGAAGACGGUCCUCUGGAUUGUAAACCACUGUCCCCAGGGACGAAGAUGACGGUACCUGGGGAGGAAGCUCCGGCAAACUACGUGCCAGCAGCCGCGGUAAUACGUAGGGAGCGAGCGUUGUCCGGAAUUACUGGGUGAAAGGGGAGCGUAGGCGGGACUGCAAGUUGGGUGUCAAAUCUACCGGCUCAACCGGUAGCCGCACUCAAAACUGCAGUUCUUGAGUGAAGUAGAGGCAGGCGGAAUUCCUAGUGUAGCGGUGAAAUGCGUAGAUAUUAGGAGGAACACCAGUGGCGAAGGCGGCCUGCUGGGCUUGUACUGACGCUGAGGCUCGAAAGUGUGGGGAGCAAACAGGAUUAGAUACCCCAGUAGUC
RNAcentral lists this ribosomal RNA (440 nucleotides) under uncultured bacterium. RNAcentral describes it as "partial 16S ribosomal RNA". It matches the Rfam family "Bacterial small subunit ribosomal RNA", at positions 338 to 795 of the family's 1533-position model. The record is from RNAcentral.